AUACUUACUGCUUGGGGAGCAUUAGCCAUGAUCCCUGGUGGCUACUCCCAAGUGAGGCGGUUCAUUGCACUCCAUUACCGAAAGUUGACCUCUCCCGAUUUCCUCAAUGUACGGAAACUUCGACUGCAUAAUUGCUUGGUAGUGGGGACUUCGCGUUCGCGCUUUCCCUG
This is a non-coding RNA of Pelobates cultripes (western spadefoot toad), 170 nucleotides long. The record is from the annotation of a GenBank genome assembly. NCBI's taxonomy places the organism in Eukaryota, Metazoa, Chordata, Amphibia, Anura, Pelobatidae.